This 116-nucleotide ribosomal RNA is filed under the name Salvator merianae (Argentine black and white tegu). The record is from RNAcentral. Lineage: Eukaryota; Metazoa; Chordata; Lepidosauria; Squamata; Teiidae.
UCCUAGAUAACUUUGAAUUCUUCUAGCUAAUUUUGUUUGAUCCUAGACGUUAAGCAGGGUCUUGCCUUAGUAAUACUUGGAUGAGAGUCCACCUGGAAUACCAGGUGCUGUAGGCU